GACGAACGCUGGCGGCGUGCUUAACACAUGCAAGUCGAGCGGUAAGGCCCUUCGGGGUACACGAGCGGCGGACGGGUGAGUAACACGUGGGUGACCUGCCUCUAGCUCUGGGAUAAGCCUGGGAAACUGGGUCUAAUACCGGAUAUGACUCCACGGCGCAUGUUGUGGGGUGGAAAGCCUUGUGUGGCUAGAGAUGGGCCCGCGGCCUAUCAGCUUGUUGGUGGGGUGAUGGCCUACCAAGGCGACGACGGGUAGCCGGCCUGAGAGGCGACCGGCCACACUGGGACUGAGACACGGCCCAGACUCCUACGGGAGGCAGCAGUGGGGAAUCUUGCGCAAUGGGCGAAAGCCUGACGCAGCGACGCCGCGUGAGGGAUGACGGCCU
RNAcentral lists this ribosomal RNA (385 nucleotides) under uncultured bacterium. RNAcentral describes it as "bacterial SSU rRNA". It matches the Rfam family "Bacterial small subunit ribosomal RNA", at positions 28 to 417 of the family's 1533-position model. The record is from RNAcentral.